CUGUGCUCCGCAAUGGGAGAGGCCACAACAGUGAGAGGCCCGCAUAACGCAAAAAAACAAACAAACAAACAAACAAAAAAAUCCGGUUUCAACUAUACAUGGAUCAUUCAUCAGUGUGGCGGCCGUGGUCUAGUCCUGCACUCUCUCCAAGGUUCAGCUUCCUGAGCAGCAAACAGGGGAUAAGAGCUCUCUCUUCAAAGGACUGGUACAAGCUGCCCACGGAGGCCCUAACUCAGCACCUUCUGAAUGAAUGGAUGAAGAAAUCCAGAUUCUUCCCUGUGAGUUAUUUGCCUUCAUUGGAAAUUUGAUGGAUGGCAUCGUAUGAAAAAAACUAUUAAAAUCCUCCAAUGAAAAAUGUACAUAUCUAUUGUGAAUUCUGCACUAAAGUGGUCUAGAAGCUUGUUACGAAUACAGAGGUUUGGUUCAUUUGCUUUUUUCUAACCCGCCUGUUUCCAUAUUGCAAAACAUGCUAAAAGUACUGUUUAUCUUGAUGUAGACUGUGUUAUUUGUGAAGGGUCUGCAUGGAGAAAGAAAACAUAGGCCGCGUUGUUCGAAGAAUCAUUAAGGAGAUAUUAUUUCAGAUCAUAAUGUAAUUAGACUCCUUCAGAGGGAAAUAUGAGUGUUCAUGUUUUCAGCUUUUAUACAGGAAUGUAACUGUGGCUGAUUAAGGGAAAAGUCAACUAAUUUAUAAUGUCUAAAUUUAGUGUUACACCAGAUAAUAUAUCUGAAAUUACAAAAACUAAAACAACUUCAGCUCUGGCUCAAAAGCAGUUCUUUAAUCCAGGGUCUGGAAUACACUGUUUAUAGUAACCGAAAUUCUAAUUUUGUAGAAUUAGAUCUUAAAAGGAGUCAAAGGCAAAAGAAAAUUCCCUACACAUCUGCUGUGCUCAAAGUAUCCACUUCAGAAGAGAACUUUUUUUUAUCUCCAAUUUAUUUUGACAAAAAUUCUCUUGGGCUUUUAUUUCAAAAGAUGAAAAAUGAGCCAUGGCAGUCAAUGGUGUAUGGUGACUAUUUAUCUGUUUACACGUAUCCAUGUGAUUGCUAGAAAAAAACAGAUUAGACUUUGAAUGUGGUAUGAAGAAUGUAUGUUCACAAGCCCAUAUUCCUCAGAGGAGAAAUAGGUUAAAAACUCAAAACUAAGUUUUAGAAACCAUGCAUUUUAUUUUGAGGAACAAUAAUUCAAGGCCUGAUUUUUUUAAGGUAAAAUAUAUAUGCUCCAUCUUAAAGUAAACAUAUUCAGCAAGUCAGUUCAUGGUUUACAGUUUUCCUAACCAAAAAAAUCAUGAAGCUAAUUAUUUAAUAAUGUCCAUGUUAUAAUUUACAUGACAGGUGUCUAUCUGAAAAAUAUCUAUACAUCUACUUUUGAUUAAUCAAAGAAUAUCGUAAAUGUACUAGAGAAACCUUUUAUAUAUUGAUUUCUUUGGCAAAUACCUUUCCGAAGUAAAGGGAGCCUUAUAAAAUUAAUAAUAGCCCUGAAUCAUUCUCCUUCUUAGUUCCCGAUUUUCAUAGAUUGGGCUUUCUUUUAAGAGGGUAUGCACCUGUAGGAAAUUUUAUACGGCAGGCAGCCUCCCUGCCAUAAUCAGAAACCAAAUUCAUUUUUGGAGGAAAGUAGGAAAUACACAAUGGCAUACGUGCCUCUUUUACGACCACAUCUGCACAGCUCAGGGAAAAGUUCGCAGAUAAGUCUGCUGAUCACAUUACAAGGCUGUUAUGAGAGAAUAAAGUUGCACCUUUGAUGGGCUAUUGCAGCUGAGUUAGAGGUCCCAGUCAUUAGAAGUUUGGCAUGUCACAGAGCGGAGCAGAUUGGAGACCCAAAAAUACUUUAUGCAACUAGCUGAAUUUUGGUCAUUUCCAUCAAAUAUCAGUGGACCCGUUAGACAAAGAUGAACAAUACGUGUGCGCGGGCACGCACACACACACACACCCCCCUCAAUACGCACUGGCAGUAAAGAUGACUUUAGGUAAUUUCUGACUUUCACCUCUGCGAUACAAAGUCCAUUGUGCUUGUACAGUGCCUUCAGGACACCAGCUGAGAACAAAGCUGCUUCCAGAAGCGGUAAGUGAUUUCAUUCUUAAUGUCCAGGUGAUAUGUGAAGCCCAUUAUCACAUCACUAAUAUGGCAGCAGACAUUUCCUGGCCAACCCCAGGUAGCUCCAGUGUUUGUGAAAUGUGUGACUGGUAAAGGUAGACCUCAGAAACACUUUUAAUUUUCUGCUAGUGUCACCAAAUGCUAAACACAGCCCUAAAAGUCAUCUUUUAAAUUUCAAAAGAAAAUGAAAUUGAACGCCACAUAAAAGAUCACAGAAAAUGUUUAAACAAAACAAUUUGCAGGAUUUAAUUGAAGGGUUUUGGUGAAGUGUUUGUGUUCCAGAUGUAAUGUGUGGCACAUUAUCAGAGAAAGCUUGGAAUAUGAGGAGGAAGGCCAUUGAUGUAAAAAGUGAGUAAUUCCAGUUCCCUGUCACACAGCACAUGGAGGGAACAGGAAUCAUCCCCAACUGUCCAUUGUCUCCUGAGGACAUCUCCUAACACAUCAGGGCCGCCUCGGUGGUCUCUGAUUGGCAUUGUGCCCCCUAAAAUUAACGUAGUUGGUGGGCUUCCCUGGUGGCGCAGUGGU
Aethalodelphis obliquidens (Pacific white-sided dolphin) is the source of this 2614-nucleotide long non-coding RNA. RefSeq lists it as uncharacterized. The record is from RefSeq and is a predicted model, not a curated record. Lineage: Eukaryota; Metazoa; Chordata; Mammalia; Artiodactyla; Delphinidae. The transcript has 3 exons.